GACGAGGCUGAUAGCGGCUGAGAGGCGACCGGCCACACUGGGACUGAGACACGGCCCAGACUCCUACGGGAGGCAGCAGUGGGGAAUAUUGCACAAUGGGCGAAAGCCUGAUGCAGCGACGCCGCGUGAGGGAUGACGGCCUUCGGGUUGUAAACCUCUUUCAGCAGGGAAGAAGCGAAAGUGACGGUACCUGCAGAAGAAGCGCCGGCUAACUACGUGCCAGCAGCCGCGGUAAUACGUAGGGCGCAAGCGUUGUCCGGAAUUAUUGGGCGUAAAGAGCUCGUAGGCGGCUUGUCGCGUCUGGUGUGAAAGCCCGGGGCUUAACCCCGGGUCUGCAUUCGAUACGGGCAGGCUAGAGUGCGGUAGGGGAGAUCGGAAUUCCUGGUGUAGCGGUGAAAUGCGCAGAUAUCAGGAGGAACACCGGUGGCGAAGGCGGGUCUCUGGGCCGAUACUGACGCUGAGGAGCGAAAGCGUGGGGAGCGAACAGGAUUAGAUACCCUGGUAGUCCAUGCCGUAAACGGUGGGCACUAGGUGUGGGGGACAUUCCACGUCGUCCGUGCCGCAGCUAACGCAUUAAGUGCCCCGCCUGGGGGGAGUACGGA
Molecule: ribosomal RNA, 602 nt
Filed under: Streptomyces sp.
Lineage: Bacteria; Bacillati; Actinomycetota; Actinomycetes; Kitasatosporales; Streptomycetaceae
Description: bacterial SSU rRNA
Rfam family: Bacterial small subunit ribosomal RNA
Source: RNAcentral